UGUUUCCAUUAAUCAAGAACGAAAGUUAGAGGUUCGAAGGCGAUCAGAUACCGCCCUAGUUCUAACCAUAAACGAUGCCAGCCAGCGAUCCGGCUGUGUUCCUCAAAUGACACGCCGGGCAGCUUCCGGGAAACCAAAGCUUUUGGGUUCCGGGGGAAGUAUGGUUGCAAAGCUGAAACUUAAAGGAAUUGACGGAAGGGCACCACCAGGAUUGGAGCCUGCGGCUUAAUUUGACUCAACACAGGGCAACUCAUCUGGUCCGGACACAGGAAGGAUUGACAGAUUAAGAGCUCUUUCUUGAUUCUGUGGCAGGUGGUGCAUGGCCGUUCUUAGUUGGUGGAGCGAUUUGUCUGGUUAAUUCCGAUAACGAUCGAGACUCUAGCCUACUAAAUAGACGUUCCGAUCCUUGUAGUCGGACGUUCUUCUUAGAGGGACAAGCGGCGUUUAGCCGCACGAGACAGAGCAAUAACAGGUCUGUGAUGCCCUUAGAUGUCCGGGGCCGCACGCGCGCUACAUUGAAGGAAUCAGCGUGUGCUUUCCCUGUCCGACAGGACUGGGUAACCCGUUGAACCUCCUUCGUGCUGGGGAUAGGAAAUUGUAAUUGUUUUCCUUGAACGAGGAAUUCCCAGUAAGCACGAGUCAUCAGCUCGUGUUGAUUACGUCCCUGCUCUUUGUGCACACCGCCCGUCGCUACUACCGAUUGAAUGAUUUAGUGAGGUCUUCGGACUGGCGCUCGGAUUGGCCUUCGGGUCGAGCCGGCGUGCCGGAAAGAUGACCGAACUUGAUUAUUUAGAGGAAGUAAAAGUCGUAACAAGGUUUCC
Molecule: ribosomal RNA, 821 nt
Filed under: Enoplognatha caricis
Lineage: Eukaryota; Metazoa; Arthropoda; Arachnida; Araneae; Theridiidae
Description: SSU rRNA
Rfam family: Eukaryotic small subunit ribosomal RNA
Source: RNAcentral